GGGACAAAAAGAGAAAAACAAAUAUAUCUAACCUCGUCAGUAAUUAUAGGCGCUUUGUCCAUCGUGUCGUUGAUCGGGCUGGGCGGUGACGUGGGGCUAGCACUGGGACUUACGUGAAAAACCUUGGAUUCUUUCACGGGUCUUUGGGGUGACACCCUCGCUGGGAAACUCAGAGUUUUGGUCCACUGCGAAAGACCGCGCACCAUCUUCAAAGUUAAAUGCACUAAUGUCACUCGCGUAAAAAUAAAAACCGAGAUGUCUCGAUUCACAAAUAUGAAUUUUGUGGAUCAGGAGAGGCAGAUUUGUUACUAUGUUCCUUCUUCUUAUCGCGUGUUUACAAAUUCAAAUAUCUUUUUUUUUUUGCGAUUGUUUCCUAAAAAAAAAGUUUUGUAAUUUUUUUUAGGAGCCGUUUCGAGCACAGUCUUAUAACUCGAGCCAAAUUUUCGCAUCCGUGAUAAUCGAAGCUGCCGAAUUAUACAUGGCAUCCGAUCAUCGAAGAAUCUGACAAACUGUACUUUAAAUCAGAAGCACUUCCCGAGAGAUCAACACGCAGGCUGCGACAGGCUGCGAGCUGCGACUAGUUCUGCAGUUCCUCUGGACCGAGCAUCAUGGUGUCGAUGGGAACGAUGACGAUGAUAGUAGUGGUGGUGGUUAUACUGAUGGUGGAGGAGGAAGAGGAAGAGACGGCGAAGAAGGAGAAAAAGGGGAAAGAAUCGGUCGCGAGCCAUGAGAGCCAUUGGAACGACCGGGAGAAACUCCGUGAGCUGGUUUAUCUCUGCAGAGGUGUAAAAAGAUAACGAGUCAAGAUUAAGAUAUUGGUAAAUCUUUAAUCUUUAAACCAUAAUCUUCUCUCGCAAGAAUAAACUUUCAUUUUAGAACAAGAAGAGCGAUUUAGACGAACAAUUUGGACUCUGCAAAGCGUGCAUCUAUAUGUAUUAACGUUUGCAUAAUUUUCACGAUUUGCAAUGAUUUUCUAUGAUAUAUCAGUCAAGAAACUAAUCAGCGUUUGUAAAAACAUAUAUACACGAAGAAAUUGUACGACAAAACUCGAUUUCGUCUCUCGACUUCGGUACGUCUUUUUUGGAGAAACAAGGAAUUUAUCGAUGGUCCGAUCAAGAAAAGAGAGACACGUGUUGCCAAGUGCAAGUUUAUAGAGUAGUAUAAGGAGAAGGGGAAUAACGACAUUGCCGGAACUACAUAUAUGCCGCGAUAUGCCCAUGCAUUCAACUGUGCGCAGACUAGAGAUCUAACCACGGCCUUCUUCGACCUUCCCCCCACCGAUGAUCGGUUACAGGAUAUCUCUCGAAUCGGCUCUCUUGGCCGGUCACCGGCCACAUUAUUCUAAAUCUUGAUAUAUUCCAAUAGUCGCAAAAACGAUUUACCGCGUAUCGUGUCAUGCCUCGAAGCCGAAUCGUUGAAUGAGCGAAUAAAUAUCUAGGCAUAUUAAUCACUUAUUGAAUGUUCACUAUCGCCGCUCAUUAAAUCACUUCAGCUUUAAAUCGUAAUAGAUGUUGCUGCAAUUAUUCUGUCGUUUAAUAUUUUUGAUCGUUUAACCUUCUAUUGAUCCUAAAUUGUUUAUUGAGGAUUUAAAAGUUUUAAAUUUCUUAAUACAAACAAAAGGAAAGUUAAAUAAAAUGAAUGAUAAAUAUGUAUUUUUAUGUAUUAAAGUCUAGGAGAAAAAACGUAAAAGAAUGGAAAUGUUUUUGUAUCGGAGCUUCAAAAUUUCGAUAGUUGAUAAAAAUGAUAGAUAUAUAAAUAAAAAUUUAUAUAAAAAAAUUUAUAAAAAAAUUUUAAUGUUGAAAUAAAUAUAUAUAUAUAAAUAAUUAUAUAUAUAUAAUAUGUUUAUUGAACAAUAUUAUUCAAUCGAUCAUUCAUCGAUGCGUCUGUACUUUACGUCGCAUGCAUCUGCCCUCAAUCGCGAAGCUAAAGGUGGCAUAUGAAGUUGCCAUAUGCGCGAGCAAUCUCCGAGAUUCUCCACGCGAUCGGAUAAAUUUUCUUUUCAAGAAGUAGGGAUUUUCGUCGAGUCCACACACGUUCUACAUUACAGACGGAGCGCUGUUGAGGGGACAAAGGAGGGUUUUUCGAAGCGUGCUGGCGAUACAAGGAGCACCUGGCAAGAUGAUGGGAGGGAUCGAGCGUAUAUGCGGAGGAAGGAUAGGACGGAACACUGUUCGGAGAAUAAUAUUGGGAAGUAUGCAGCUGUCACAUACAGCAGCUGCAAACUUUUCGCUGUCUCUCUCUCUCUCAUUCCCACCCUCUUUCGUACUCCCUCUCUUUUUCCCUCUCCUCCCUCUCUUCUUCACCUUUUCUCUUUCCAUUUAUCUAUCUAUCUCUUUUUCUCUCGUUAAUCGGCAACCUUUCUUUUGUGCCUUCUGCCUCACGGCUGUGCGCUAUCUAAUUUCUGUCUUGGCAUACUGAUUCCUUUACAAAUUUUUAUAGUACUUAAUCAUAGUAAAUUUUGCAUAAUUAGAAUUUCGUCAAUAUAUGUGAAAAAUUUGAUUUCUUUUUAUAUUUCUUCUUCAUCAAAUUUGUUAAUAACUACUCCAAUGUACGAUUUUCUGUAAGAAUCAAUGCAAAUAUAAAAGUAAAAUAAUUUUUAAAUCCAUCAGAGAAAUAUGCUCAGAUUUUCAGCAAAUACUUUUGUUAGAGAAGAAAACAAUAAUCUACAAAAUUUUUAUGUGUGCGUGUGUUUGAUGAUUUUGAUAUAUGACUCAUAUCUAAUAAUUUCCAAAUUUUAAUUAUGUAUUAUCUCUUUAAGAAAUCAACUACUACUACCAUCAUCGCAAAAAAAAAAAAAAAAAAA
Long non-coding RNA from Formica exsecta, 2803 nucleotides. RefSeq lists it as uncharacterized. NCBI's taxonomy places the organism in Eukaryota, Metazoa, Arthropoda, Insecta, Hymenoptera, Formicidae. The record is from RefSeq and is a predicted model, not a curated record. The transcript is spliced from 3 exons.